CGUACACUCCUACGGGAGGCAGCAGUGGGGAAUAUUGGACAAUGGGAGCAAGCCUGAUCCAGCCAUGCCGCGUGAGUGAUGAAGGCCCUAGGGUUGUAAAGCUCUUUCACCGGUGAAGAUAAUGACGGUAACCGGAGAAGAAGCCCCGGCUAACUUCGUGCCAGCAGCCGCGGUAAUACGAAGGGGGCUAGCGUUGUUCGGAUUUACUGGGCGUAAAGCGCACGUAGGCGGACUAUUAAGUCAGGGGUGAAAUCCCGGGGCUCAACCCCGGAACUGCCUUUGAUACUGGUAGUCUUGAGUUCGAGAGAGGUGAGUGGAAUUCCGAGUGUAGAGGUGAAAUUCGUAGAUAUUCGGAGGAACACCAGUGGCGAAGGCGGCUCACUGGCUCGAUACUGACGCUGAGGUGCGAAAGCGUGGGGAGCAAACAGGAUUAGAAACCCCGGUAGUCCCA
This 451-nucleotide ribosomal RNA is filed under the name uncultured organism. RNAcentral's name for it is "partial 16S ribosomal RNA". It matches the Rfam family "Bacterial small subunit ribosomal RNA", at positions 330 to 797 of the family's 1533-position model. The record is from RNAcentral.